Molecule: ribosomal RNA, 526 nt
Filed under: uncultured eukaryote
Lineage: Eukaryota
Description: partial 18S ribosomal RNA
Source: RNAcentral
AUCAGUAUACGAACAGAUUUUCUAAUUCGGUACGUGCAGAUACAUAUUUACAUAAAAUAUGUACUUUGACGCGUAUCGAGUAAUUUGGUCAAUAUCAAAUAAACUACAACUGAAUGAUGUACCUAUUGGCAUCAUUAAGAUCUCGAUUAUGUACGGUUUUUCCGGGCUGGCAUACCUUCCCAACAUAAAUAAUCUAUUUUUUGGUUAGAGCGUUCUCAAACACCACUAAGUAUUAUUGACAAGUUUAGCGUACGGCGUUCCACCGCUAUCUAGUAAGUUUAAAGACGGGAUAGUCGAGAGCCGCCACCACAUCACCUGAUGGCACCGUAAUUGCCCAUUGCCUCUUAAUCCCAAGCUAAGGCCUCUCCCUCGGACUCUUUACCGAUGGUGUAGGUUCCUUCCGUCGUCCGCGCAUUUAAUGGGUUAGGACUGUGUCCCUCCAUCACUGUUAUUUAUUGUUACGGCCCGAUAAAAAUCAGACCGUUAACCUUACUCUUGUUAAAUUUAGGGAAUAGCUCCUAGUUAA